This 102-nucleotide Y RNA is filed under the name Propithecus coquereli (Coquerel's sifaka). RNAcentral's name for it is "Y RNA (ENSPCOG00000010503.1)". It matches the Rfam family "Y RNA". Rfam says of the family: Y RNAs are components of the Ro ribonucleoprotein particle (Ro RNP), in association with Ro60 and La proteins. The Y RNAs and Ro60 and La proteins are well conserved, but the function of the Ro RNP is not known. In humans the RNA component can be one of four small RNAs -- hY1, hY3, hY4 and hY5. Lineage: Eukaryota; Metazoa; Chordata; Mammalia; Primates; Indriidae. The record is from Rfam by way of RNAcentral.
GGUUGGUCCAAGUGCAGUGAUGUUUACAACUAAUUGAUCACAACCAGUUACAGAUUCCUUUGUUCCUUCUCCACUCCCACUGCUUCACUUGACCAGCCUUUA